RNAcentral lists this ribosomal RNA (253 nucleotides) under uncultured bacterium. Its description in RNAcentral is "partial 16S ribosomal RNA". It matches the Rfam family "Bacterial small subunit ribosomal RNA", at positions 524 to 776 of the family's 1533-position model. The record is from RNAcentral.
UACGGAGGAUGCGAGCGUUAUCCGGAUUUAUUGGGUUUAAAGGGUGCGUAGGUUGUUUUUUAAGUCAGCGGUGAAAGUUUGUGGCUCAACCAUAAAAUUGCCGUUGAAACUGGAAGACUUGAGUGUGUUUGAGGCAGACGGAAUUCCUAGUGUAGCGGUGAAAUGCGUAGAUAUUAGGAGGAACACCAGUGGCGAAGGCGGCCUGCUGGACAUUAACUGACGCUGAGGCGCGAAAGCGUGGGGAGCAAACAGG